GAACCACCACACCUCUAUCCGCCAGAGAAUUACAAGCAAACUCAAAACUCAAAGGACUUGACGGUGUCCCAAACCAACCUAGAGGAGCCUGUCCUAUAAUCGAUAAUCCACGCUACACCUCACCCCCUCUCGAAACCAGUCUGUAUACCGCCGUCUUUCAGUUCGCCUUAUGACAGACCCAUAGCGAACACAACAGCCCAUCACUCAAACGUCAGGUCAAGGUGCAACUAAUGAGGGGGCAGCGAUGGGCUACAUU
Molecule: ribosomal RNA, 256 nt
Filed under: Tarentola mauritanica (Moorish gecko)
Lineage: Eukaryota; Metazoa; Chordata; Lepidosauria; Squamata; Phyllodactylidae
Description: partial 12S ribosomal RNA
Rfam family: Bacterial small subunit ribosomal RNA
Source: RNAcentral